Molecule: ribosomal RNA, 1334 nt
Filed under: Psychrobacter pulmonis
Lineage: Bacteria; Pseudomonadati; Pseudomonadota; Gammaproteobacteria; Moraxellales; Moraxellaceae
Description: 16S ribosomal RNA
Rfam family: Bacterial small subunit ribosomal RNA
Source: RNAcentral
GGGUGAGUAAUACUUAGGAAUCUACCUAGUAGUGGGGGAUAGCUCGGGGAAACUCGAAUUAAUACCGCAUACGACCUACGGGAGAAAGGGGGCAACUUGUUGCUCUCGCUAUUAGAUGAGCCUAAGUCGGAUUAGCUAGAUGGUGGGGUAAAGGCCUACCAUGGCGACGAUCUGUAGCUGGUCUGAGAGGAUGAUCAGCCACACCGGGACUGAGACACGGCCCGGACUCCUACGGGAGGCAGCAGUGGGGAAUAUUGGACAAUGGGGGCAACCCUGAUCCAGCCAUGCCGCGUGUGUGAAGAAGGCCUUUUGGUUGUAAAGCACUUUAAGCAGUGAAGAAGACUCCAUGGUUAAUACCCAUGGACGAUGACAUUAGCUGCAGAAUAAGCACCGGCUAACUCUGUGCCAGCAGCCGCGGUAAUACAGAGGGUGCAAGCGUUAAUCGGAAUUACUGGGCGUAAAGCGAGCGUAGGUGGCUUGAUAAGUCAGAUGUGAAAGCUCCGGGCUUAACCUGGGAACGGCAUCUGAUACUGUUAGGCUAGAGUAGGUGAGAGGAAGGUAGAAUUCCAGGUGUAGCGGUGAAAUGCGUAGAGAUCUGGAGGAAUACCGAUGGCGAAGGCAGCCUUCUGGCAUCAUACUGACACUGAGGUUUGAAAGCGUGGGUAGCAAACAGGAUUAGAUACCCUGGUAGUCCACGCCGUAAACGAUGUCUACUAGUCGUUGGGUCCCUUGAGGACUUAGUGACGCAGGUAACGCAAUAAGUAGACCGCCUGGGGAGUACGGCCGCAAGGUUAAAACUCAAAUGAAUUGACGGGGGGCCCGCACAAGCGGUGGAGCAUGUGGUUUAAUUCGAUGCAACGCGAAGAACCUUACCUGGUCUUGACAUAUCUAGAAUCCUGCAGAGAUGCGGGAGUGCCUUCGGGAAUUAGAAUACAGGUGCUGCAUUGCUGUCGUCAGCUCGUGUCGUGAGAUGUUGGGUUAAGUCCCGCAACGAGCGCAACCCUUGUCCUUAGUUACCCGCGGUUUGGCCGGGAACUCUAAGGAUACUGCCAGUGACAAACUGGAGGAAGGCGGGGACGACGUCAAGUCAUCAUGGCCCUUACGACCAGGGCUACACACGUGCUACAAUGGUAGGUACAGAGGGCAGCUACACAGCGAUGUGAUGCGAAUCUCAAAAAGCCUAUCGUAGUCCAGAUUGGAGUCUGCAACUCGACUCCAUGAAGUAGGAAUCGCUAGUAAUCGCGGAUCAGAAUGCCGCGAAAGUACGUUCCCGGGCCUUGUACACACCGCCCGUCACUCCAUGAGAGUUGAUUGCACCAGAAGUGGGUAGCUUA